Molecule: ribosomal RNA, 467 nt
Filed under: uncultured bacterium
Lineage: Bacteria
Description: partial 16S ribosomal RNA
Rfam family: Bacterial small subunit ribosomal RNA
Source: RNAcentral
ACGAACGCUGGCGGCGUGCUUAACACAUGCAAGUCGAACGGAGAGGCCCUGCUUUUGUGGGGUGCUCGAGUGGCGAACGGGUGAGUAACACGUGAGUAACCUGCCCUUGACUUUGGGAUAACUUCAGGAAACUGGGGCUAAUACCGGAUAGGAGCUCCUGCUGCAUGGUGGGGGUUGGAAAGUUUCGGCGGUUGGGGAUGAACUCGCGGCUUAUCAGCUUGUUGGUGGGGUAGUGGCUUACCAAGGCUUUGACGGGUAGCCGGCCUGAGAGGGUGACCGGCCACAUUGGGACUGAGAUACGGCCCAGACUCCUACGGGAGGCAGCAGUGGGGAAUAUUGCACAAUGGGCGGAAGCCUGAUGCAGCAACGCCGCGUGCGGGAUGACGGCCUUCGGGUUGUAAACCGCUUUCGCCUGUGACGAAGCGUGAGUGACGGUAAUGUGUAAAGAAGCACCGGCUAACUACGUG